Molecule: long non-coding RNA, 823 nt
Organism: Physeter macrocephalus (sperm whale)
Lineage: Eukaryota; Metazoa; Chordata; Mammalia; Artiodactyla; Physeteridae
Exons: 3
Source: RefSeq, a predicted model, not a curated record
GGAGCUCGGGUCCCCUCAGGAUCUGCCCCUCCAUCACCAGCGCCACAGCCAGGGCCGCCACCACUCUUCCAAAGCCACCUGAAGAAGCUGCUCAGUGUCCUAAGAAGGUCAUAUUCUGAUGCUCACUUUGAAUGUGUCCAAAAAGGAAAAUGGAAAAGACAGCAUUUUUCAAAGGUUAGAACAGAGAGCCAUGGAGAAUAAAUGGACUGGGAAGCCCCUUCCGGGUCUAAUCAAGGAACAUUUCUCUCAUCUUGGGAUAAAGGAUCCUUACAAUAUCUGCCUACUGGGAUUUCACACCUGCUACACACCAGCAACUGCUGUGUCUCCUAUUUUUCUCCAGGGAAUAGUUAUUGAGGUUACCCUGAACACAAGUUUACCAGUGUAUACUGGAUGUUUAGGGAACUGAUGACUUGCCUUUUUAGUUCAUAAGUUUUUUGGAUCAAGCAGAGCCACACUCAGACAUGAAGCAUGUUUCUUCCUGAUGUCGGGACUACACUGUAUCACCCAUAGAUUCUGCUCUUUGAACUUGAUGUUCUCAUUGAAAGGCACUUCUGGGUUUUCUCCUUCAGGGACAGGUUUGCCUGUUUGCAGUCAACUGUGCCUAUGAGCCAUGCUUUGGCUGAUGAACCAUGAGCAGAAGUGUCUGUGCAGCAGCUUUAAGAGCAAGUAUGUGAUUUGCUAUAAUUUUCUUUCCCUCUGUCCCAGUGACAGGCAACCUUACAGAUGGAUGGUACAAAAUCCUGGGUUUCAGAGUGAGAGAACUGGAGAACCCACAGACAUCUAUUGAUGGACAUAUAUUAGGAGCAAGAAAUACAUCUUUGUU